UACGGAGGGAGCGAGCGUUAUUCGGAAUUACUGGGCGUAAAGCGUAUGUAGGCGGUUUUUUAAGACAGAUGUGAAAUCCCAGAGCUUAACUUUGGAACUGCAUUUGUGACUGGAAGACUCGAGUAUCGGAGAGGUUGGCGGAAUUCCUAGUGUAGCAGUGAAAUGCGCAGAUAUUAGGAGGAACACCGAUGGCGUAAGCAGCCAACUGGACGAUUACUGACGCUGAGAUACGAAAGUAUGGGGAGCAAACAGG
This 253-nucleotide ribosomal RNA is filed under the name uncultured bacterium. Its description in RNAcentral is "partial 16S ribosomal RNA". It matches the Rfam family "Bacterial small subunit ribosomal RNA", at positions 524 to 776 of the family's 1533-position model. The record is from RNAcentral.